RNAcentral lists this non-coding RNA (127 nucleotides) under Ictidomys tridecemlineatus (thirteen-lined ground squirrel). RNAcentral's name for it is "Spermophilus tridecemlineatus (thirteen-lined ground squirrel) Eukaryotic large subunit ribosomal RNA". It matches the Rfam family "Eukaryotic large subunit ribosomal RNA", at positions 1207 to 1332 of the family's 3401-position model. The record is from Rfam by way of RNAcentral. Lineage: Eukaryota; Metazoa; Chordata; Mammalia; Rodentia; Sciuridae.
AGAUUCCUGAAAAGAGUAUUAAAAGAUACUUAAAGCAGGACAGUGGCCAUGGAAGUUGGAAUCUGCUAAGGAGUAUGUAACAACUCACCUAUGGAAUCAACUAGCCCUGCAAACGGACAGCUCUGGA